CUUGGCGACUUCAACCUCCCGACGUCUGCCUUCGAUUCAUUUCUUUCCAACGCUCUCUUUCCCCUCCUUGCCUCUUUUGACCUCACCCUUUCCCAAUCCCCUCCAACUCACAAGGUAGGCAAUACGUUUGACCUCAUCUUUACUAGAGGCUGUUCUCCUACUAAUCUCACUGCAACCCCCCUCCAGGUCUCUGAUCAAUACUUUGUUUCCUUUUCAGUCUCCCUAUCCUCCAACCCUAACCACUCAGCCUCUACCCAGAUGGUCAAGCGCCAUCACAAUCUUCACUCUCUCUCUCUCCCUCUACUCUCUCCUCUUCUAUCCUAUCUCCAUUCUGCUAAAUCCUUCUCCCUCCUGUCUCCUGAUUCUGCCACUUCGACCCUACUCUCCUCCCUUUCCUCAUCCUAUGACUCGCACUGUCCCCUUUUCUCCCGACCAGGUCGGCCCUCCCCUCCUGCUUCGUGGCCAAGUGACUCGUUGCGAGUUUACAGAACAGGGCUGCAGGCAGCUGAGCAAAAAUGGAGGAAAACUAAACUUCCAGAGGACCUAUCAUUCUUUCACUCCCUCCUACCUACCUUCUCUUCCCAGAUGACAUCCUGCGACUAGUGAGGUCUGGCCGCCUGACAAUCUGCCUGCUUGACCCCAUCCCCUCCUCCAGACCAUCUCUGGAGGCCUUCUCCCACUCCUCACUUCCCUCACUUCCCUCAUCAACUCAUCCCUGACCACUGGCUGUGUCCCCUCUGACUUCAAAAUGGCCCGAGUUGCUCCCCUCCUCAAGAAACCAACACUCGACCAACAUCUGACAUCCAAACAACAUCUGACGUCAAAAACUAUAGACCUGUAUCCUUUCUUUUUUAUCUUUCCAAAACACUUGAGCGUGCUGUCUCUGAUCAACUUUCUCGUUAUCUCUCUCAGAACAAUCGUCUUGACUCUAGCCAGUCAGGCUUCACGACGGGUCACUCAAUCGAGACUGUUCUUCUCUGUUACGGAGGCUUUCCGCACUGCCAAAGCUGACUCUUCUCUGUUCUCAUCCUCCUAGAUCUAUCCGCUGCCUUCGACUCCGUGAACCAUCAAAUCCUCCUCUCCACCCUUUCAGGGAUGGGUAUCUCAGGCUCUGCAGACUCUUGGUUUGCAUCCUACCUGGCAGGCCGCUCCUACCAGAUGACGUUGAGAGGAUUUGUGUCUGCACCACGGACUCUCACUACUGGUGUCCCCCAGGGCUGUGAGAUGUGGUUGUCCCACCUAGCUAUCUUAAGAUGAUAGCACUAACUGUAAGUCGCUCUGGAUAAGAGUGUCUGCUAAAUGACUAAAAUGUCAAAUGUAAAUGGGGCCUUUAGGACCAUUUAGUGUCAGCUAUACAGGACUAGAUGGGGGACAUGCCAACACAUAGCCUCCUCUGAUACAGAUACUUUCCUCUCUUUUGAGCUUUGUCUAUGUCUAUAAUAGUCUCACAAAAAAAACGUUGAAUAACGGCCUUUCUCAUCCCUGGCUUGCAGCUCUGCCUCCACCAACUCCUUUAGCCCACCUGAAAAUAAACCAAACAUGCUGCAUGUUAUAAUACAAC
This 1561-nucleotide long non-coding RNA is filed under the name Salmo salar (Atlantic salmon). RNAcentral's name for it is "lncRNA (ENSSSAG00000086062.1, ENSSSAG00020047978.1)". The stretch from base 1256 to 1309 matches the Rfam family "UnaL2 LINE 3' element". Lineage: Eukaryota; Metazoa; Chordata; Actinopteri; Salmoniformes; Salmonidae. The record is from RNAcentral.